CCUACGCGUGGCAGCAGUGAGUAAUAUUUGUCAAUGUACGAGAGUCUUAACCAGCCCAGUAGCGUGAAGGAUGCCUGCCAUAUUGGUUGUAAACUUCUUUUAUAAAAGAAUAACACGAGGCACGUGUGCCUUUUUGCAUGUACUUUAUGAAUAAGGAUCGGCUAACUCCGUGCCAGCAGCCGCGGUAAUACGGAGGAUCCGAGCGUUAUCCGGAUUUAUUGGGUUUAAAGGGAGCGGAGAUGGGUUGUUAAGUCAGUUGUGAAAGUUUGCGGAUCAACCGUAAAAUUGCAAUUGAUACUGGCAGUCUUGAGUACAGUUGAGGUAGGCGGAAUUCGUGGUGUAGCGGUGAAAUGCUUAGAGAUCACGAAGAACCCCGAGUGCGAAGGCAGCUUACUAAACUGUGACUGACAUUGAUGCUCGAAAGUGUGGGUAUCAAACAGGAUUAGAUACCCUAGUAGUC
This 460-nucleotide ribosomal RNA is filed under the name uncultured bacterium. Its description in RNAcentral is "partial 16S ribosomal RNA". It matches the Rfam family "Bacterial small subunit ribosomal RNA", at positions 338 to 795 of the family's 1533-position model. The record is from RNAcentral.